AGUGAACGCUGGCGGUAGGCCUAACACAUGCAAGUCGAACGGCAGCACAGUAAGAGCUUGCUCUUACGGGUGGCGAGUGGCGGACGGGUGAGGAAUACAUCGGAAUCUACUUUUUCGUGGGGGAUAACGUAGGGAAACUUACGCUAAUACCGCAUACGACCUACGGGUGAAAGCAGGGGAUCUUCGGACCUUGCGCGAUUGAAUGAGCCGAUGUCGGAUUAGCUAGUUGGCGGGGUAAAGGCCCACCAAGGCGACGAUCCGUAGCUGGUCUGAGAGGAUGAUCAGCCACACUGGAACUGAGACACGGUCCAGACUCCUACGGGAGGCAGCAGUGGGGAAUAUUGGACAAAGGGCGCAAGCCUGAUCCAGCCAUACCGCGUGGGUGAAGAAGGCCUUCGGGUUGUAAAGCCCUUUUGUUGGGAAAGAAAAGCAGCAGGUUAAUACCCCGCUGUUCUGACGGUACCCAAAGAAUAAGCACCGACUAACUUCGUG
This 492-nucleotide ribosomal RNA is filed under the name uncultured bacterium. RNAcentral's name for it is "partial 16S ribosomal RNA". It matches the Rfam family "Bacterial small subunit ribosomal RNA", at positions 29 to 507 of the family's 1533-position model. The record is from RNAcentral.